RNAcentral lists this ribosomal RNA (1324 nucleotides) under Bacillus sp. (in: firmicutes). RNAcentral's name for it is "bacterial SSU rRNA". It matches the Rfam family "Bacterial small subunit ribosomal RNA", at positions 100 to 1411 of the family's 1533-position model. The record is from RNAcentral. Lineage: Bacteria; Bacillati; Bacillota; Bacilli; Caryophanales; Bacillaceae.
CUCCCGNGCACACGUGCGUAACCUGCCUGUAAGACUGGGAUAACUCCGGGAAACCGGAGCUAAUACCGGAUAGUUCCUUGAACCGCAUGGUUCAAGGAUGAAAGACGGUUUCGGCUGUCACUUACAGAUGGACCCGCGGCGCAUUAGCUAGUUGGUGAGGUAACGGCUCACCAAGGCGACGAUGCGUAGCCGACCUGAGAGGGUGAUCGGCCACACUGGGACUGAGACACGGCCCAGACUCCUACGGGAGGCAGCAGUAGGGAAUCUUCCGCAAUGGACGAAAGUCUGACGGAGCAACGCCGCGUGAGUGAUGAAGGUUUUCGGAUCGUAAAGCUCUGUUGUUAGGGAAGAACAAGUGCAAGAGUAACUGCUUGCACCUUGACGGUACCUAACCAGAAAGCCACGGCUAACUACGUGCCAGCAGCCGCGGUAAUACGUAGGUGGCAAGCGUUGUCCGGAAUUAUUGGGCGUAAAGGGCUCGCAGGCGGUUUCUUAAGUCUGAUGUGAAAGCCCCCGGCUCAACCGGGGAGGGUCAUUGGAAACUGGGAAACUUGAGUGCAGAAGAGGAGAGUGGAAUUCCACGUGUAGCGGUGAAAUGCGUAGAGAUGUGGAGGAACACCAGUGGCGAAGGCGACUCUCUGGUCUGUAACUGACGCUGAGGAGCGAAAGCGUGGGGAGCGAACAGGAUUAGAUACCCUGGUAGUCCACGCCGUAAACGAUGAGUGCUAAGUGUUAGGGGGGUUUCCGCCCCUUAGUGCUGCAGCUAACGCAUUAAGCACUCGGCCUGGGGAGUACGGUCGCAAGACUGAAACUCAAAGGAAUUGACGGGGGCCCGCACAAGCGGUGGAGCAUGUGGUUUAAUUCGAAGCAACGCGAAGAACCUUACCAGGUCUUGACAUCCUCUGACAACCCUAGAGAUAGGGCUUUCCCUUCGGGGACAGAGUGACAGGUGGUGCAUGGUUGUCGUCAGCUCGUGUCGUGAGAUGUUGGGUUAAGUCCCGCAACGAGCGCAACCCUUGAUCUUAGUUGCCAGCAUUUAGUUGGGCACUCUAAGGUGACUGCCGGUGACAAACCGGAGGAAGGUGGGGAUGACGUCAAAUCAUCAUGCCCCUUAUGACCUGGGCUACACACGUGCUACAAUGGACAGAACAAAGGGCUGCGAGACCGCAAGGUUUAGCCAAUCCCACAAAUCUGUUCUCAGUUCGGAUCGCAGUCUGCAACUCGACUGCGUGAAGCUGGAAUCGCUAGUAAUCGCGGAUCAGCAUGUCCGUCGAGUGAAUACGUUCCCGGGCCUUGUACUACACGCGCGCCGUCUACACCAAGA